UACGUAGGGAGCAAGCGUUAUCCGGAUUUAUUGGGUGUAAAGGGUGCGUAGACGGGAAGGCAAGUUAGUUGUGAAAUCCCUCGGCUUAACUGAGGAACUGCAACUAAAACUAUCUUUCUUGAGUGCUGGAGAGGAAAGUGGAAUUCCUAGUGUAGCGGUGAAAUGCGUAGAUAUUAGGAGGAACACCAGUGGCGAAGGCGACUAUCUGGACAGUAACUGACGUUGAGGCACGAAAGUGUGGGGAGCAAACAGG
RNAcentral lists this ribosomal RNA (253 nucleotides) under uncultured bacterium. RNAcentral describes it as "partial 16S ribosomal RNA". It matches the Rfam family "Bacterial small subunit ribosomal RNA", at positions 524 to 776 of the family's 1533-position model. The record is from RNAcentral.